RNAcentral lists this ribosomal RNA (922 nucleotides) under uncultured Bacteroidota bacterium. RNAcentral's name for it is "bacterial SSU rRNA". It matches the Rfam family "Bacterial small subunit ribosomal RNA", at positions 1 to 916 of the family's 1533-position model. Lineage: Bacteria; Pseudomonadati; Bacteroidota. The record is from RNAcentral.
GGAUCCAGACUUUGAUUAUGGCUCAGGAUGAACGCUAGCUACAGGCCUAACACAUGCAAGUCGAGGGGAAACGGCAGCUUAGCUUGCUAAGCUGGACGUCGACCGGCGCACGGGUGAGUAACGCGUAUCCAACCUGCCCCACGGUGAGGGAUAACCCGCGGAAACGCGGCCUAAUACCUCAUGGUCUCCGAGCUUGACAUCAACCUUGGAGUAAAGAUUCAUUGCCGUGGGAUGGGGAUGCGUCUGAUUAGCUUGUUGGCGGGGCAACGGCCCACCAAGGCAACGAUCAGUAGGGGUUCUGAGAGGAAAGCCCCCCACAUUGGAACUGAGACACGGUCCAAACUCCUACGGGAGGCAGCAGUGAGGAAUAUUGGUCAAUGGGCGAGAGCCUGAACCAGCCAAGUAGCGUGCAGGAAGACGGCCCUAUGGGUUGUAAACUGCUUUUAUGCGGGGAUAAAGCGGGCGACGUGUCGCCCUUUGCAGGUACCGCAUGAAUAAGGACCGGCUAAUUCCGUGCCAGCAGCCGCGGUAAUACGGAAGGUCCGGGCGUUAUCCGGAUUUAUUGGGUUUAAAGGGAGCGCAGGCCGGGUAUUAAGCGUGUUGUGAAAUGUAGGCGCCCAACGUCUGCACCGCAGCGCGAACUGGUGCCCUUGAGUACGCACGACGUUGGCGGAAUUCGCCGUGUAGCGGUGAAAUGCUUAGAUAUGGCGAAGAACUCCGAUUGCGAAGGCAGCUGACGGGAGCGCUACUGACGCUCAUGCUCGAAAGCGCGGGUAUCGAACAGGAUUAGAUACCCUGGUAGUCCGCGCGGUAAACGAUGGAUGCCCGCUAUUUGCGCAUUAGCGCAAGUGGCCAAGUGAAAACGUUAAGCAUCCCACCUGGGGAGUACGCCGGCAACGGUGCAACUCAAAGGAAUUGACGG